Molecule: ribosomal RNA, 253 nt
Filed under: uncultured bacterium
Lineage: Bacteria
Description: partial 16S ribosomal RNA
Rfam family: Bacterial small subunit ribosomal RNA
Source: RNAcentral
UACGUAGGGGGCAAGCGUUGUCCGGAUUUAUUGGGCGUAAAGAGCGUGUAGGCGGUUUGGUAGGUCCGUUGUGAAAACUCGAGGCUCAACCUCGAGACGCCGAUGGAAACCAUCAGACUAGAGUCCGGAAGAGGAGAGUGGAAUUCCUGGUGUAGCGGUGAAAUGCGCAGAUAUCAGGAAGAACACCCGUGGCUAAGGCGGCUCUCUAGUACGGUACUGACGCUGAGGCACGAAAGCCAGGGGAGCAAACGGG